GCGGGUGUAGCUCAGUGGUUAGAGCGCCGGCCUGUCACGCCGGAGGUCGCGGGUUCAAGUCCCGUCAUCCGCGCCA
This 76-nucleotide transfer RNA is filed under the name Armatimonadota bacterium. RNAcentral describes it as "Armatimonadetes bacterium (activated sludge metagenome) tRNA-Asp". It matches the Rfam family "tRNA". From Rfam's summary of the family: Transfer RNA (tRNA) molecules are approximately 80 nucleotides in length. Their secondary structure includes four short double-helical elements and three loops (D, anti-codon, and T loops). The record is from RNAcentral. RNAcentral also lists the same sequence under 1 other name. Lineage: Bacteria; Bacillati; Armatimonadota.